GCAAACUUGGUCAUUUAGAGGAAGUAAAAGUCGUAACAAGGUAACCGUAGGUGAACCUGCGGUUGGAUCAUUAAAGAAUUAUGAUUUGUUGGGGUUACGCGUUUGCCGCCCCUUCAACAUCAUUAUCACCUUUUUGUGAACAUUUCGUGUAUUUUGGCAGCCCAACGAAAACCGUCUGAAGUGGAGAGGAAAUUCUUCUCUCUCUUUUGGGCGUGGGCUGCCAGCUGUUUGUGCCAACACUUUUGUUUAUUGCUUGUGUACGUCAUUUUGGUUUAAGCCUCUUCACGAGGCUGUAAAACACAAAAUUGAAAACAACUUUUGACAACGGAUCUCUUGGCUCUCGCAUCGAUGAAGAACGCAGC
RNAcentral lists this unclassified non-coding RNA (362 nucleotides) under uncultured fungus. RNAcentral's name for it is "partial contains small subunit ribosomal RNA, internal transcribed spacer 1, and 5.8S ribosomal RNA". The stretch from base 1 to 73 matches the Rfam family "Eukaryotic small subunit ribosomal RNA", at positions 1759 to 1831 of the family's 1831-position model. Lineage: Eukaryota; Fungi. The record is from RNAcentral.